RNAcentral lists this ribosomal RNA (253 nucleotides) under uncultured bacterium. Its description in RNAcentral is "partial 16S ribosomal RNA". It matches the Rfam family "Bacterial small subunit ribosomal RNA", at positions 524 to 776 of the family's 1533-position model. The record is from RNAcentral.
UACGGGGGGGGCAAGCGUUGUUCGGAAUUACUGGGCGUAAAGGGCUCGUAGGCGGCCAACUAAGUCGAACGUGAAAUCCCUCAGCUUAACUGGGGAACUGCGUCCGAUACUGAUUGGCUUGAAUCCGGAAGAGGGAUGCGGAAUUCCAGGUGCAGCGGUGAAAUGCGUAGAUAUCUGGAGGAACACCGGUGGCGAAGGCGGCAUCCUGGGUCGGUAUUGACGCUGAGGAGCGAAAGCCAGGGGAGCAAACGGG